GUCUACGGCCAUGCUACCCUGAAUAAGCCUGAUCUCGGAAGCUAAGCAGGGUCGGGCCUGGUUAGUACUGGGAUGGAAGACCACCUAGGAAGACCAAGUGCUGUAGGAG
RNAcentral lists this ribosomal RNA (109 nucleotides) under Pteropus alecto (black flying fox). The record is from RNAcentral. Lineage: Eukaryota; Metazoa; Chordata; Mammalia; Chiroptera; Pteropodidae.